GAUCUUAUAGUUAAAUGGUUAUAACAUCAUCCCUUCACGAUGAGAGUACCAGUUCGAUUCUGGUUGAGAUUA
Molecule: transfer RNA, 72 nt
Filed under: Williopsis jadinii
Lineage: Eukaryota; Fungi; Ascomycota; Saccharomycetes; Phaffomycetales; Wickerhamomycetaceae
Also listed under: 4 other names
Description: Cyberlindnera jadinii tRNA-Glu
Rfam family: tRNA
About the family: Transfer RNA (tRNA) molecules are approximately 80 nucleotides in length. Their secondary structure includes four short double-helical elements and three loops (D, anti-codon, and T loops).
Source: RNAcentral